RNAcentral lists this ribosomal RNA (425 nucleotides) under uncultured bacterium. RNAcentral describes it as "bacterial SSU rRNA". It matches the Rfam family "Bacterial small subunit ribosomal RNA", at positions 359 to 776 of the family's 1533-position model. The record is from RNAcentral.
GAAUAUUGGACAAUGGGAGCAACCCUGAUCCAGCCAUGCCGCGUGUGUGAAGAAGGCUUUCGGGUUGUAAAGCACUUUCAGUGGGGAAGAAGGCCUUGGGCUUAAUACGCUUGAGGAGGGACAUCACCCACAGAAGAAGCACCGGCUAACUCCGUGCCAGCAGCCGCGGUAAUACGGAGGGUGCGAGCGUUAAUCGGAAUUACUGGGCGUAAAGCGCGCGUAGGCGGCUAAGUAAGCAGGUUGUGAAAGCCCCGGGCUCAACCUGGGAACGGCAUCCGGAACUGUCAGGCUAGAGUGCAGGAGAGGAAGGUAGAAUUCCCGGUGUAGCGGUGAAAUGCGUAGAGAUCGGGAGGAAUACCAGUGGCGAAGGCGGCCUUCUGGACUGACACUGACACUGAGGUGCGAAAGCGUGGGUAGCAAACAGG